Molecule: non-coding RNA, 295 nt
Organism: Pelobates cultripes (western spadefoot toad)
Lineage: Eukaryota; Metazoa; Chordata; Amphibia; Anura; Pelobatidae
Source: the annotation of a GenBank genome assembly
GCCCACCGAACUGCAGCACAGUUAAACAUUGUAUUGUAUUAUUUAGUUGCUUUCAUUCUGUUUUUCUAAAAUAGUUCAGUUUCCCUGGAUACAGAAUGUAUAAACAUGAAACCUUUCCAUCGAUGGUUCUACACGUGAAAAGGAGUAAUUUGUUUGCCACUAGGAUUGAAAUGCGGCAAGGACAGACAAGUUUAGUGACCAUUUUUUCAUAUAACUUAACAUCUUAUCUUAUUAUGUUUAAGGAAUUUGUAUUAACAAAACUGAGUAUUGAGAGCUUAUGAUACAUUUAUUGAAU